GAUGAACGCUGACAGAAUGCUUAACACAUGCAAGUCAACUGUGGCGGACGGGUGAGUAACGCGUAAAGAACUUGCCUCACGGAUAGGAACAACAUUUGGAAACGAAUGCUACUCACUGAUACUGUGAGAGAGCUUUGCGUCCCAUUAGCUAGUUGGAGAGGUAACGGCUCACAAAGGCGAUGAUGGGUAGCCGGCCUGAGAGGGUGAUCGGCCACAAGGGGACUGAUACACGGCCCUGACGCUUACGGGAGCAAGCAGGUGGGAUUAUUGGACAAUGGACCAAAGUCUGAUCCAGCUAUUCGGUGUGCAAGAUGAAGUUUUCGGAAUGUAAAGUGCUUUCAGUUGGGAAGCAGUACCAACAGAAGAAGUGACGGCUAAAUACGUGCCAGCAGCCGCGGUAAUUC
RNAcentral lists this ribosomal RNA (404 nucleotides) under uncultured bacterium. RNAcentral describes it as "partial 16S ribosomal RNA". It matches the Rfam family "Bacterial small subunit ribosomal RNA", at positions 28 to 526 of the family's 1533-position model. The record is from RNAcentral.